This is a long non-coding RNA of Spinacia oleracea (spinach), 487 nucleotides long. RefSeq lists it as uncharacterized. The record is from RefSeq and is a predicted model, not a curated record. The transcript is spliced from 3 exons. Lineage: Eukaryota; Viridiplantae; Streptophyta; Magnoliopsida; Caryophyllales; Amaranthaceae.
UACAUUUUCACAAAUGCGGGCUCAUUUUAGAAAAUUGGCAGCACUUGAGUUCAAUUGCGGGCUCUAAACUCAAGUGCGGGCUCAUUUUAGAAACCAGCAGCACAAAGUUAUCUAAAAAUACAAGGGCGAUUUUUUUUUUCAUUUUCCCGCUCCUCCUUCGCUCCUUGCCUCACAUUUGUUUCUCUGCUAGAGGGCGGCGUUGAAGAAAAUCACAGCACACACACUCACCCUUCUCUGUCGUGCCGCCCACCUCUGCCGCGCCGCCGCUGCGCUAUGCUCUUCCUCCUUUCCCCACCGCUGCCGCGCUCUGCUCUCCCCUUAUCACUUCUAGAUCUAGCCUUAGCCAUCGCACCGGUAACAAGAUAUAUUUCUCGAGCUUCUGGGUAAUGGUAAGUAGCUGAUCAACAAAUACAUUUAUCAAUUACUGGGAGAUUUCAAUGGGGUGACAAUAAGUCGAUGGCAACUGGCUGGAAUUGUGAAAUUUACC